GACGAACGCUGGCGGCGUGCUUAACACAUGCAAGUCGAACGGAAAGGCCCUGCUUUUGUGGGGUGCUCGAGUGGCGAACGGGUGAGUAACACGUGAGUAACCUGCCCUUGACUUUGGGAUAACUUCAGGAAACUGGGGCUAAUACCGGAUAGGUGCUCCUGCUGCAUGGUGGGGGUUGGAAAGUUUAGGCGGUGGGGGAUGGACUCGAGGUUUAUCUGCUUGUUGGUGGGGUAGUGGCUUACCAAGGCUUUGACGGGUAGCCGGCCUGAGAGGGUGACCGGCCACAUUGGGACUGAGAUACGGCCCAGACUCCUACGGGCGGCAGCAGUGGGGAAUAUUGCACAAUGGGCGGAAGCCUGAUGCAGAAACGCCGCGUGCGGGAUGACGGCCUUCGGGUGGUAAACCGCUUUCGCCUGUGACGAAGCGUUAGUGACGGUAAUGGGUAAAGAAGCACCGGCUAACUACGUG
Molecule: ribosomal RNA, 468 nt
Filed under: uncultured bacterium
Lineage: Bacteria
Description: partial 16S ribosomal RNA
Rfam family: Bacterial small subunit ribosomal RNA
Source: RNAcentral